GAGAGAUGGCACAAUGGUUAAGAGCACUGGCUGUUUUUCCAGAGGACCUGGGUUCAAUUCCCAGAGCCCUCA
This 72-nucleotide transfer RNA is filed under the name Mesocricetus auratus (golden hamster). It matches the Rfam family "tRNA". From Rfam's summary of the family: Transfer RNA (tRNA) molecules are approximately 80 nucleotides in length. Their secondary structure includes four short double-helical elements and three loops (D, anti-codon, and T loops). Lineage: Eukaryota; Metazoa; Chordata; Mammalia; Rodentia; Cricetidae. The record is from Rfam by way of RNAcentral.